RNAcentral lists this long non-coding RNA (4199 nucleotides) under Gossypium barbadense (sea-island cotton). RNAcentral describes it as "long non-coding RNA (GBAR_LNC015975)". The stretch from base 608 to 696 matches the Rfam family "mir-160 microRNA precursor family". The record is from RNAcentral. Lineage: Eukaryota; Viridiplantae; Streptophyta; Magnoliopsida; Malvales; Malvaceae.
GAUAUUGGUGUUAAUGUAGGAGGACAUGAGUUUCGAAUGCACUGAAGCGGAUUGUAUUGAAUGGGAAUUGAAAUGGGUGAAUUUAUAUAUUUAUUUUUAAAUUUAAAGAUUUAGGGUUACAAACAAACAUUCUUACAUACAAAUCUCUUAUAAAUGAUUAAAUGGGAUUAGGAGAAAUAGAGGGAAUGCGAGAUAUAAAAUGAAGUGAAGGGAGGGCAGAAAAUCCAAAGUAGGGGACCUGCAAAACCCAAGAACGCUUUGGCUCUUAUGUAUGGAAUUAACUGUUUGUUACAAAUAGUCUUUGUAUUGACCGAUAAAAAAAAGAAGUGAAAUUUGUUGCCGCUUUUGCUCCUUCCUUAACCUCCUCCUUUACCCCAUAAUAAACUCCAGGUACUUUGUUUUUGGCUUUGCCUCUGCUUCCUUUUUCCUCGGUUUUCUUCUUUAAAUUCCCUUAAUUUCUCAGCUUCCAUGGAAAUACAAGAGAGAAGAACAUCAGAGGUAGCUCUUUCUUUUUCUCGUAACUCAAGUGCAGGUGAGCAUCUCCUGUUUUCAUCGAUAAUUAAGAUGAUUACUUUUUUAUUUGUUUUCCAUGUGGAUUGGUUGGUGAAUCUGCCUGGCUCCCUGAAUGCCAUCUAAGAAGCUUUGUCAAGCACGGUUGGCUGCCUUCUUACAUGGCAUGAGGGGAGUCAUGCAGGUUUAACUGUUUCAUAUCUUCAUAAGGAUAUGGAUGAAUUCAUAGAUUUUUUAUGGGGUUUGAUCUUCAUCGGCUCAACAUAAUUGUUAAUAUUAAUGUUAGUUAGCUGUAUUUAGAUAAUUAAAGUGAAAGUGCGGGUGUGUAUUAUUUAGUAGCUGAGUUGAUAGACAAACUACUGAAGAUUAGACAAGAAAAAGAGAUGAUGAUAUUAUAUAAAAUCUAGCAAUAAAGUGAGGAGAUUUAAUAAAUUCUAAUGUUUGGCUGCUUCUUCAACUUAUUCAAAAAGUGAGUGGUUAGUGCUAAUAUUUUACUGCACAUGUGGCUGUCAUGGAAAGGAAUUCACACUGUGCAGGGCAUUAUAACACUCAUGUAGGCCCUUCUUUUUACCAUUAAUUUUAGGACCCAAGGUGUAUAAGCUGCUAUCCAAAUAUUUUUAUUCAAGUCAUUGAAUUGUUAAGUUUUUUUUAGUUUGGUUGGUGAUAUUUAAAGUUGAGUAGCUAAAUAUUUUUUUUAAAGAUCUUAAUUCGCAAAUUCGUGACGUCUAAAGUUGUUUCAUGAAAAAAAAUUAAACGGUAGAAGAGAAAGAGAAAUAUAUCCUUCCGAUUGGUGUUAAAGGUGAGUACAGAAAAAACCAUACAACGACGAUUUUAACAGUUUAGUAGCUUAAAUGAAAUCUUUCAACUAAUUUAAUAAUCAAUUUAUAACUAUUUAAAGUUGAAUAACCAAAUCAUAAACGUAUUAAUAAUUCAAUCACCUUAAAUCGAGUCUGCCCUUAAUUUUAAGUUCUGAAUUUUACGAAUAAAAAAGACCUGUAAUGUUAUUAUAUUUAUAUUAAUAAUCAGUUUUAUAUUAUAUAUGCCCUAGAAUCAAUCUUUGCACGUUUUCGCCGGUAUCAUUUAGGUUACAUUUUAUUAUUUUAUUUUCAUAAAAAAAAAAAGGAUACCUAAAUAAGCUGUCAAUGUUUACGUAAACCCUUUUAACUUUUAUUUUACACAUAAAUAAAUACCUUUACCUAAAUAAACCCUUAACCUAAAUCAUUAAAAUAGGGAUUUGCUUAAAAACAAAUCAAAAUAUAAGAACUUAAUUGAGGAAAAAAGUAAAAGAAGUUAAAAGUUCAAAAACCCAUUUUAGUGUUUUAACCAAUUAUUACACUUGGAAUACCAUUCAAACAAAAGUUAAAUUUAAUUAGUUGUUUGAUUUUAUAGCUUCCAACUACCCAUGUCUACAGUCAAACAAAAGCAAUCUCUAGAUAAAUUGAAUUUCGGGAAAGUUUUGAAAUUCUAAAUAAUUAAAAGAUCAUUAUGUGUAUUUAAUUUUACGUUUUAGAAAUUAGAGAGCAAAACCAUGUCUAUUAAUAAUAAGGUUUUGCAUGGAUAAGAUGUGGAAGAUAUACGUAAAUAUUAUUUUCUGUUAUAAUGAAUAAUGAAAUUAUUAUUUUAUGUGUUUCCUGCUUUUUCUUUUGCUUGUAUUUUCUAGUUUCUAUUUUAUUAUAAAUAAAUAAAAACUUUGAUAUUGAACAGCCUAUCUAUUGUUGCGGUCCAACCCUAUGAUGAAGCAAUUUUUCUUUUUCUUUGUCGCUAUACCUUAUGGUUUUACGGUUUUAAAGUUUGAGCCUGAAGAUAAAAUUAAAAUUAAAAAAAGGUAAAGAAAUGAAUAUUUGUGAUUUUGUCACUAUUGUAGUGAAAAGUCAAAAGACAAGAUGGAAAGGCAAGUCCAGGAAAGGGUUGCCAAACCUGACUCGGCAUGAGAGUGACUCAACCCUGAAAUCAAAUCCAUCUAUACCCGAAUUAUUAUGGUUUUAAUUGAGACCAGUGAUAAAGAAUUUGUACACGUGUUAAUGAUUGGAUAUAUAUUUUUUGAGGUUUUGAUUAUAUUUGUUUUUUCGACACAAUAUUUAAAAUUACUCAUAGUCCCUCUCCAAUCCAUAAAUAAGAGAAUAAUGCAUUUUAAUGCAUUCAAACUCACAUCCUCUUAUAUUGACAACAAUACUCACGUCAAUCGAUAGUUAUUGAAUAUGUUUAAAUAUUAUAUAAAAGCAAGACAUAACAAAAAUAUCAUCAUAAUAAUCUUAAUUCAUUUUAAAAAUAUAUACAUUAAACUUUUUUUUAACUAAAUAUUCUGUAACACCAGUUGAUUUUAUAGAUUAACAUCAUUCAUGUAAUAAUAAUUAAUACAAUACAAUUCCCCCAAUUGAUUUCUCAAGUGCUUGUCUUUAUUUUUUAUUUUUUUAAAAAGUAAUCAUUUAAUAUUUUAUUUUUAAAAAAAUUCAUUUAUGUCUGAAUUCAAUAUCAAUGAGAUAUUAUUUCCUGAAAAUAAAAUGAAUUCUAUCAUGUGGAUAUCGAUGCUUAUAUUUCAUGAAAAUAAAAAUGAAUUGUAUCACUAAUAUCAUAUCCACAAAAGAACAGCUUGCUAUUUGGACGACCAGUUCUGGAUUGAAGAAGGGUGGAAGAAGAUAAGGUUGAUAAGCCCCCUAAUUAUUAUAAAAUUAUGCUUUGAAAAAUAUUUUUAAAUAUAUAUUGGGUGAAAUUUGACAUUUGAUGGUUAUCAGUCUCCAGUUUAGUUUUCGUUUCUUUGUUUGAAAUAAUAAAUAAAAAUAAAACAUGUAAAGUAAAUUAAACUAUUGGUGAGCAAUGGAAAGAUGCUUGAAAAUGUAAAAGCCUAAGAAAUCACAUCCGGUCCAAGAAAGAUUAAUCGCCUUAGAAACGGAAUAAUGGGCUGUACCUGAACCAGCCUUCACUCAUUUCCAACUUAAAACAAGAGUUCAAUAGACAUUAUUUUAGCUUGCAACAGAACAGGGCAGCUUCUUCUUCAUUCUUGAACAGCAGUAUUACAUCAGUAAAAGAUCCUUGUAUCGCAUCAAAACCUACUUUUCAACUUAAAAUAGAGGCUAAUUUAACACACAAAACGAUAUGCCCUGAAAAUCCAAACAUAUUAAAAAAUUGGAAUAACUUAUAUUUGACAUGAAUAGUUGCAUCAACAAUGUUCCUUGAUCAUCAAAGAAUUGAAAACUAGCGUCAGUUCCAUUUGGUGUAAAACUAUAUUACAAAGUUCCUACAGAAAUGAAAAACAAAUGCUAAAACCAAUAGACUGAUCUAGAAUGUAUCUGUCAGUGAUUCCUUUUUUUUUUCUAAGUUUCCUACCAUUGUUUUUCUUCAAGAUCUACACUGUAAUCUACAUCAGCAAAGAACUGCACAUAUCCGAACUAAUAAUACACACAUUAAAGUAGCAAUCUCGCUUAUACUUCAUCAUAGUCUUCAUCAUCUAUUCCCCCAUUCGAAUCAGCAAGUUUAAUAGGAUCAAUAGCCAUCUUCUCGAUUUCACAAAGUGACCAACCAGGGUAUUCUUCUCUAUUUUCAGGGAUGUCAUCUGUUCUUGGACUAGCAGCAGCAAUGGAUGUGAUCAAGUCCCCAUUCUCAUCCAAGUCUGCAUUGAGGUCAAUGUUCCGAACUGGAGUUUUGAUGUUCUUGCCUGCAUGAUUAUGUUUCUUUGACUCAUCAGACUCUAC